UGCUGCCCGCCGGCAGUCCCGAGCCUGCCAUUUCGUGUCCUGUUCUCAAAUUUGUUUUGUUUUUGUAAACGAGUCAUCGCACACACCCAAAGCCCCCAGUCCGUCUCUCCUCGAGGACCAGUAGUGAUUGCAUGUGCUGCGAUUGCUGGCAGGAGCCCACUCAGCCCUCUAACUCAGGCCUUCCUGCUCAGUAAUGCUGUAGGAGGCCUUGUGCCAAACACGCUUGUGUUGAAAUAAAACCUUGGAUUGUUUAGUGAUGGGACUAUGGCAUAAGCAGGAGCUGGCCGAAAUGAGAGGACAGAAUCAUCUGUACUUCCUCUCCUGCGGUCCCAGCCAUGGCAGGAGUGAGGAUGGGCUCCUCCAGAAAUGCACAGUCCACCAAGGCAGCUUGGGUGCAGUAGGGCCGUGGCUCCUCCGACAACUGGACCACACAAUGGAGAGAGCUGCUGAGGUAGCAUUGCCAUGGCUUGUGAAAGUCAAACAGCGUCUUGGAGGCCUCCCUCCCUCCCCUUACACGCCUGGCCUCGGCUUCUGUACAGCCAUGCUGAGUUGGGCUCUUUCCUCCAGGCCAGAACAACAAGGAGGCAAGAAAGAAAGGCUCUACACAGUAUGAAUUUGGUUCCACUCUGUCCAGAAUACUUAGAAGUCGAAU
Molecule: non-coding RNA, 652 nt
Organism: Meleagris gallopavo (turkey)
Lineage: Eukaryota; Metazoa; Chordata; Aves; Galliformes; Phasianidae
Source: RefSeq, a predicted model, not a curated record